This 479-nucleotide ribosomal RNA is filed under the name uncultured bacterium. RNAcentral's name for it is "partial 16S ribosomal RNA". It matches the Rfam family "Bacterial small subunit ribosomal RNA", at positions 28 to 507 of the family's 1533-position model. The record is from RNAcentral.
GAUGAACGCUAGCGGGAGGCCUAACACAUGCAAGCCGAGCGGUAUUUGUUCUUCGGAACAGAGAGAGCGGCGCACGGGUGCGGAACACGUGUGCAACCUGCCUUUAUCUGGGGGAUAGCCUUUCGAAAGGAAGAUUAAUACCCCAUAAUAUAUUGAGUGGCAUCACUUGAUAUUGAAAACUCCGGUGGAUAGAGAUGGGCACGCGCAAGAUUAGAUAGUUGGUGAGGUAACGGCUCACCAAGUCAAUGAUCUUUAGGGGGCCUGAGAGGGUGAUCCCCCACACUGGUACUGAGACACGGACCAGACGCCUACGGGAGGCAGCAGUGAGGAAUAUUGGACAAUGGGUUAGCGCCUGAUCCAGCCAUCCCGCGUGAAGGACGACGGCCCUAUGGGUUGUAAACUUCUUUUGUAUAGGGAUAAACCUACUCUCGUGAGAGUAGCUGAAGGUACUAUACGAAUAAGCACCGGCUAACUCCGUG